AUGUGUAUUCUGAAGAAAAGAGGGGGCAUGGGUUUUAGCGAUGUACAAAGCUUUAAUCUUGCUAUGUUAGCAAAACAGGGUUGGCGUCUAAUUCAGAGCCCCGAUUCUUUGUGUGCACGUGUGUUAAGUGCAAAAUAUUGUCCUGAUGGAAACAUACUGAAUGCGGGUCCCAAGAAAGGCUCUGCAUUUACUUGGGAAGGUAUUGUUUCAGGGAUCCAAACCUUUAAGAGGGGAUACGUUUGGAGAGUUGGGACUGGUUCAAAGAUGAUUAUUUGGAAAGAUCCUUGGAUACCCUCCAAUGUUCGGAAAGUAAUCAUUCCGUGGGGGGAAACUUUAUUGUCAAACAUAGAAGACUUGAUUGACCAAUACUCUGGUCAAUGGGAUGAAUAGCUUGUACGGUAUGUUUUCAACCUAGUUGAUGUUGCUAUAAUCCUACGAAUCCCUCUUUGCGUGGAUGUGCUAGUGGGUUUUGUAGCAUGGAAUUACACAAGGUAUGGUACACUCUCGGUGCGAUCUUCAUAUCAUGUUGAGUUUGAUCACCAAUAUGCCGCAUGA
This 555-nucleotide ribosomal RNA is filed under the name Triticum aestivum (bread wheat). Its description in RNAcentral is "partial small subunit ribosomal RNA". The record is from RNAcentral. Lineage: Eukaryota; Viridiplantae; Streptophyta; Magnoliopsida; Poales; Poaceae.